AGGGUAGUAGCGCAGUCGGUAGCGCGCGGCAUUUGGGAUGCUAAGGUCGUCGGUUCGAGCCCGGCUCACCCUA
This 73-nucleotide transfer RNA is filed under the name Larkinella rosea. RNAcentral's name for it is "tRNA-Pro". It matches the Rfam family "tRNA". From Rfam's summary of the family: Transfer RNA (tRNA) molecules are approximately 80 nucleotides in length. The record is from RNAcentral. Lineage: Bacteria; Pseudomonadati; Bacteroidota; Cytophagia; Cytophagales; Spirosomataceae.